RNAcentral lists this ribosomal RNA (482 nucleotides) under uncultured bacterium. RNAcentral describes it as "partial 16S ribosomal RNA". It matches the Rfam family "Bacterial small subunit ribosomal RNA", at positions 30 to 507 of the family's 1533-position model. The record is from RNAcentral.
AUUGAACGCUGGCGGCAUGCCUUACACAUGCAAGUCGAACGGAAACAGGUCUUCGGAUGCUGACGAGUGGCGACCGGGUGCGUAAUACUUCGGAACGUGCCCAGACCCGGGGGAUCACGAGGCGAAAGCUUUGCUAAUACCGCAUACGAUCUAAGGAUGAAAGCCGGGGAGCGCAAUGCCUUGCGCGUUUUGUGCGGCCGAUGGCAGAUUAGGUAGUUGGUGGGAUAAAAGCUUACCAAGCCGACGAUCCGUAGCUGGUCUGAGAGGACGACCAGCCACACUGGGACUGAGACACGGCCCAGACUCCUACGGGAGGCAGCAGUGGGGAAUUUUGGACAAUGGGCGAAAGCCUGAUCCAGCAAUGCCGCGUGCAGGAUGAAGGCCUUCGGGUUGUAAACUGCUUUUGUACGGAACGAAAAGGCUCUGGCUAAUACCUGGAGCACAUGACGGUACCGAAAGAAUAAGCACCGGCUAACUACGUG